RNAcentral lists this ribosomal RNA (503 nucleotides) under uncultured bacterium. Its description in RNAcentral is "partial 16S ribosomal RNA". It matches the Rfam family "Bacterial small subunit ribosomal RNA", at positions 30 to 523 of the family's 1533-position model. The record is from RNAcentral.
AUUGAACGCUGGCGGCAGGCUUAACACAUGCAAGUCGAGCGGGGUGAUGGUGCUUGCACUAUCACUUAGCGGCGGACGGGUGAGUAAUGCUUAGGAAUCUGCCUAUUAGUGGGGGACAACAUCUCGAAAGGGAUGCUAAUACCGCAUACGUCCUACGGGAGAAAGCAGGGGAUCACUUGUGACCUUGCGCUAAUAGAUGAGCCUAAGUCGGAUUAGAUAGUUGGUGGGGUAAAGGCCUACCAAGGCGACGAUCUGUAGCGGGUCUGAGAGGAUGAUCCGCCAAGCUGGGACUGAGACACGGCCCAGACUCCUACGGGAGACAGCAGUGGGGAAUAUUGGACAAUGGGGGGAACCCUGAUCCAGCCAUGCCGCGUGUGUGAAGAAGGCCUUAUGGUUGUAAAGCACUUUAAGCGAGGAGGAGGCCCUUUUGGUUAAUACCCAAGAUGAGUGGACGUUACUCGCAGAAUAAGGAUCGGCUAACUCCGUGCCAGCAGCCGCCGUAA